RNAcentral lists this ribosomal RNA (395 nucleotides) under uncultured bacterium. RNAcentral's name for it is "bacterial SSU rRNA". It matches the Rfam family "Bacterial small subunit ribosomal RNA", at positions 28 to 428 of the family's 1533-position model. The record is from RNAcentral.
GACGAACGCUGGCGGCGUGCUUAACACAUGCAAGUCGAGCGGUAAGGCCCUUUCGGGGGUACACGAGCGGCGAACGGGUGAGUAACACGUGGGUGACCUGCCCUCAGCUCUGGGAUAAGCCUGGGAAACCGGGUCUAAUACCGGAUAUGACUCCAUGACGCAUGUUGUGGGGUGGAAAGCCUUGUGCGGCUGAGGAUGGGCCCGCGGCCUAUCAGCUUGUUGGUGGGGUGAUGGCCUACCAAGGCGACGACGGGUAGCCGGCCUGAGAGGGCGACCGGCCACACUGGGACUGAGACACGGCCCAGACUCCUACGGGAGGCAGCAGUGGGGAAUCUUGCGCAAUGGGCGAAAGCCUGACGCAGCGACGCCGCGUGAGGGAUGACGGCCUGGUGUAA